UACGUAGGGUGCGAGCGUUAAUCGGAACUACUGGGCGUAAAGCGUGCGCAGGCGGUUUUGUAAGCCAGGUGUGAAAUCCCCGGGCUCAACCUGGGAAUGGCAUUUGGGACUGCAAGGCUGGAGUGCGGCAGAGGAGACUGGAAUUCCUGGUGUAGCAGUGAAAUGCGUAGAUAUCAAGAGGAAUACCGAUGGCGAAGGCAGGUCUCUGGGCUGACACUGACGCUCAUGCACGAAAGCGUGGGGAGCAAACAGG
This 253-nucleotide ribosomal RNA is filed under the name uncultured bacterium. RNAcentral describes it as "partial 16S ribosomal RNA". It matches the Rfam family "Bacterial small subunit ribosomal RNA", at positions 524 to 776 of the family's 1533-position model. The record is from RNAcentral.